This 61-nucleotide transfer RNA is filed under the name Pseudoniphargus mateusorum. RNAcentral's name for it is "tRNA-Asn". Lineage: Eukaryota; Metazoa; Arthropoda; Malacostraca; Amphipoda; Allocrangonyctidae. The record is from RNAcentral.
UUAGCUGAAACCAAACAGAGGUGAAUCACUGUUAAUGAUUUAAUUGAGAGAUCCUGCUGUU